GAGUUUGAUCUUGGCUCAGAUUGAACGCUGGCGGCAUGCUUUACACAUGCAAGUCGAACGGUAACGCGGGGGCAACCCUGGCGACGAGUGGCGAACGGGUGAGUAAUACAUCGGAACGUGUCCUGGAGUGGGGGAUAGCUCGGCGAAAGCCGGAUUAAUACCGCAUACGCUCUGAGGAGGAAAGCGGGGGACCUUCGGGCCUCGCGCUGCGGGAGCGGCCGAUGUCGGAUUAGCUAGUUGGUGGGGUAAAGGCCUACCAAGGCGACGAUCCGUAGCUGGUCUGAGAGGAUGAUCAGCCACACUGGGACUGAGACACGGCCCAGACUCCUACGGGAGGCAGCAGUGGGGAAUUUUGGACAAUGGGGGCAACCCUGAUCCAGCCAUGCCGCGUGAGUGAAGAAGG
RNAcentral lists this ribosomal RNA (403 nucleotides) under uncultured beta proteobacterium. Its description in RNAcentral is "bacterial SSU rRNA". It matches the Rfam family "Bacterial small subunit ribosomal RNA", at positions 9 to 414 of the family's 1533-position model. The record is from RNAcentral. Lineage: Bacteria; Pseudomonadati; Pseudomonadota; Betaproteobacteria.